GGACAAUACCCCUAAUGCGCCUUGAAAUGAGGAACACAAAAGUCACGUGUACACAAAAAAUCUCUGUGUAGUGAUAUUUGACACAUUUCUAUGAUAAACAAAUAACUGAGCUGAACCAUUAGUGUUAAUUUAGAAAAUAAGGGAACACAGAAUAAAUGUGUAAUAACCAUGGAGCUAUGAAAUGUGUUCAAAGUAUUAAAAUUUCAAAGAACUUAUUGUGUUAAAAUUGGGAUUUUUUACCAUGAGGAGCGACAUCGCAAAAGGAUACUCGGGGUUUGCUAAAUUACGGAAAAAUGAAUCACACUUCGUACCCCGAAAAUUUAACCACAUAUGUAAAAAUGUCUCAGCUUCGAAACAAGCCAUCAUACAUAUACAAGUUUACGAUAUGGGCUGAGCAACAGAAGAAAACGUUACCAUUACGGCCUAUGGAAUAACAAUUGCGCAUAUUGCCCCAUCUUGUGAGCUAGGAUCCAGAGAUGUCUUAAGCUAAUUUCACCUUGUACACCACAGAAAAUUGUUAAAAUGAUGUUCCAGACAUAUCAUUACUUUUAAAUAUGAGAUGACAAACUAAAGGUUUUAAAAAGUCCUGAAUAACUGAAAUGGACAAAAAUACACAGAUUUAUUCAGAAUGUCAUACCGAUGAAGAUCAUCUAAAAAUAUUUGGAAAAAUCAGAACUAUGGAUUUCAAUAUCUUGUGAGCUAGGAUCCAGAGAUGUCUUAAGCUAAUUUCACCUUGUACACCACAGAAAAUUGUUAAAAUGAUGGUUAGUAGUUUUUUAUUUAUACCUAGUUAUCAUAAAUGAUUUCAGAUAAAUAUUAUUGAUAAAGAACAGCAAAAAUUCAAUAAAAUUUUCACUUUUAAAUGCAUUACUGGCACGGGGCUGAACACUUUUUUUAGGCACAGUCAUAACUUUGUUUACCCCGAGAGAUCCGAAAUGAAUUGUUUAUUCAAUUGAAAAAGGCAAGAAAAAACUUACAUGUAAUAUAAAUAAAUUUUCCAGACAUAUCAUUACUUUUAAAUAUGAGAUGACAAACUAAAGGUUUUAAAAAGUCCUGAAUAACUGAAAUGGACAAAAAUACACAGAUUUAUUCAGAAUGUCAUACCGAUGAAGAUCAUCUAAAAAUAUUUGGAAAAAUCAGAACUAUGGAUUUCAAUAUGGGACAAUACCCCUAAUGCGCCUUGAAAUGAGGAACACAAAAGUCACGUGUACACAAAAAAUCUCUGUGUAGUGAUAUUUGACACAUUUCUAUGAUAAACAAAUAACUGAGCUGAACCAUUAGUGUUAAUUUAGAAAAUAAGGGAACACAGAAUAAAUGUGUAAUAACCAUGGAGCUAUGAAAUGUGUUCAAAGUAUUAAAAUUUCAAAGAACUUAUUGUGUUAAAAUUGGGAUUUUUUACCAUGAGGAGCGACAUCGCAAAAGGAUACUCGGGGUUUGCUAAAUUACGGAAAAAUGAAUCACACUUCGUACCCCGAAAAUUUAACCACAUAUGUAAAAAUGUCUCAGCUUCGAAACAAGCCAUCAUACAUAUACAAGUUUACGAUAUGGGCUGAGCAACAGAAGAAAACGUUACCAUUACGGCCUAUGGAAUAACAAUUGCGCAUAUUGCCC
Molecule: long non-coding RNA, 1611 nt
Organism: Mytilus trossulus (common blue mussel)
Lineage: Eukaryota; Metazoa; Mollusca; Bivalvia; Mytilida; Mytilidae
Exons: 5
Source: RefSeq, a predicted model, not a curated record